AUAACUGCGAGUGAAGCGGGAAAAGCUCAAAUUUAAAAUCUGACAGUCUUGCUGUCCGAGUUGUAAUCUGGAGAAGCAUUUUCUGUGUCGGACCGUGUACAAGUCUCUUGGAAUAGAGCGUCAUAGAGGGUGAGAAUCCCGUCCAUGACACGGACCCCCGAUGCUUUGUGAUAUGCUCUCGAAGAGUCGAGUUGUUUGGGAAUGCAGCUCAAAAUGGGUGGUAAAUUCCAUCUAAAGCUAAAUAUUGGCGAGAGACCGAUAGCGAACAAGUACCGUGAGGGAAAGAUGAAAAGCACUUUGGAAAGAGAGUUAAACAGUACGUGAAAUUGUUGAAAGGGAAACGCUUGAAGUCAGUCGCGUUGUCUGAGACUCAGCCUUGCUUUUGCUUGGUGCACUUCUCAGUUAACGGGUCAACAUCAAUUUUGGUUGGUGGAUAAAGGUAUUGGGAAUGUGGCACCUUCGGGUGUGUUAUAGCCCUUUGCUGCAUACACUGACUGGGAUUGAGGACUGCAGCACGCCGUCUUGGCCGGGGUUCGCCCUA
Molecule: ribosomal RNA, 541 nt
Filed under: Xylodon borealis
Lineage: Eukaryota; Fungi; Basidiomycota; Agaricomycetes; Hymenochaetales; Schizoporaceae
Description: LSU rRNA
Rfam family: Eukaryotic large subunit ribosomal RNA
Source: RNAcentral